This 862-nucleotide ribosomal RNA is filed under the name Caenia amplicornis. RNAcentral's name for it is "SSU rRNA". It matches the Rfam family "Eukaryotic small subunit ribosomal RNA", at positions 448 to 1291 of the family's 1831-position model. Lineage: Eukaryota; Metazoa; Arthropoda; Insecta; Coleoptera; Lycidae. The record is from RNAcentral.
CUCCCGGCACGGGGAGGUAGUGACGAAAAAUAACGAUACGGGACUCAUCCGAGGCCCCGUAAUCGGAAUGAGAACAAUUUAAAUCCUUUAACGAGGAUCAAUUGGAGGGCAAGUCUGGUGCCAGCAGCCGCGGUAAUUCCAGCUCCAAUAGCGUAUAUUAAAGUUGUUGCGGUUAAAAAGCUCGUAGUCGAAUUUGUGUUGCGGGCCGUCGGUUCGUCGCUCGCGGCGUUUAACCGGCGUGUUGCGCAACGUCCAGCCGGUGGCAGCGCCCCCCUCCGCGGUUGCUCUUUACCGAGUGUCGUGGCGGGCCGGCUAGUUUACUUUGAACAAAUUAGAGUGCUUAAAGCAGGCUAAAAUUUUGCCUGAAUACUUCGUGCAUGGAAUAAUGGAAUAGGACCUCGGUUCUAUUUUGUUGGUUUUCGGAACACCGAGGUAAUGAUUAAUAGGAACGGAUGGGGGCAUUCGUAUUGCGACGUUAGAGGUGAAAUUCUUGGAUCGUCGCAAGACGGACAGAAGCGAAAGCAUUUGCCAAAAACGUUUUCAUUGAUCAAGAACGAAAGUUAGAGGUUCGAAGGCGAUCAGAUACCGCCCUAGUUCUAACCAUAAACGAUGCCAGCUAGCGAUCCGCCGACGUUCCUCCGAUGACUCGGCGGGCAGCUUCCGGGAAACCAAAGCUUUUGGGUUCCGGGGGAAGUAUGGUUGCAAAGCUGAAACUUAAAGGAAUUGACGGAAGGGCACCACCAGGAGUGGAGCCUGCGGCUUAAUUUGACUCAACACGGGAAACCUCACCAGGCCCGGACACCGGAAGGAUUGACAGAUUGAGAGCUCUUUCUUGAUUCGGUGGGUGGUGGUGCAUGGCCGU